This 451-nucleotide ribosomal RNA is filed under the name uncultured bacterium. RNAcentral describes it as "bacterial SSU rRNA". It matches the Rfam family "Bacterial small subunit ribosomal RNA", at positions 28 to 507 of the family's 1533-position model. The record is from RNAcentral.
GACUAACGCUGGCGGCGUGCCUAACACAUGCAAGUCGAACGAAGCAGCAAUGCUUAGUGGCAGACGGGUGAGUAACGCGUAGAUAAUGUGCCCUCUUGCGGGGGAUACCGUUUCGAAAGGAACGUUAAUACCGCAUAAAGUCCUUAGAAGGCAUCUUUUAGGGACCAAACUUCCGGGGCGGGAGGAGCAAUCUGCGUACUAUCAGCUAGUUGGUGAGGUAAUGGCUCACCAAGGCUACGACGGUUAACUGGUCUGAGAGGAUGAUCAGUCACACUGGAACUGAGACACGGUCCAGACUCCUACGGGAGGCAGCAGUGAGGAAUAUUGCACAAUGGGCGAAAGCCUGAUGCAGCGACGCCGCGUGGAGGAUGAAGGAUUUCGGUCUGUAAACUCCUGUCAGUAGGGAAGAGAAUGGACGGUACCUACUGAGGAAGCUUCGGCUAACUACGUG